CGAGGCCACAUACUUCUUUAUACCCCAUAGGGAUCACUGUGCUAUGGAAUGUAAGGAAGUGUGUGGUUUUGG
RNAcentral lists this microRNA precursor (72 nucleotides) under Jaculus jaculus (lesser Egyptian jerboa). RNAcentral's name for it is "microRNA 206 (ENSJJAG00000003823.1)". It matches the Rfam family "mir-1 microRNA precursor family". Rfam says of the family: This family represents the microRNA (miRNA) mir-1 family. miRNAs are transcribed as ~70nt precursors (modelled here) and subsequently processed by the Dicer enzyme to give a ~22nt product. In this case the mature sequence comes from the 3' arm of the precursor. The extents of the hairpin precursors are not generally known and are estimated based on hairpin prediction. Lineage: Eukaryota; Metazoa; Chordata; Mammalia; Rodentia; Dipodidae. The record is from RNAcentral.